RNAcentral lists this ribosomal RNA (253 nucleotides) under uncultured bacterium. RNAcentral describes it as "partial 16S ribosomal RNA". It matches the Rfam family "Bacterial small subunit ribosomal RNA", at positions 524 to 776 of the family's 1533-position model. The record is from RNAcentral.
UACGGGGGGGGCUAGCGUUGUUCGGAAUUACUGGGCGUAAAGGGCGCGUAGGCGGUCUGCUAAGUUGGAUGUGAAAACUCUGGGCUUAACCCAGAGCCUGCAUUCAAUACUGACAGGCUAGAGUUCUGGAGGGGAUAGCGGAAUUCCUGGUGUAGCGGUGAAAUGCGUAGAUAUCAGGAGGAACACCGGUGGCGAAGGCGGCUAUCUGGACCGGUACUGACGCUGAGGCGCGAAAGCUAGGGUAGCAAACAGG